CCAUUUCAGAUCUUUUAUUCUUGUUGGAUCCUGUUUAAAUUUGAAAUUGAACAAAUAUAAUUAUACUUUGAAAAAACUAGUUGAGUUUAGAAAAUAUCCAACCACUUCUAUAUUUUUCUUCUAAAAUAGAAAACCUCUAUUACAGAAGUGGAAUUUGGUUCAAAGUUUAUAAGUUAAUAUUUGAUAAAUUAAUAACCACGCUAAAUUAAAUUUUUUUGCUCUAAAUUGGAUUAGUUUAAAAUAUGACACAAAUUGAUAAAAUAAUAAGGUAAUAUUUUUUUCGUAAAUCCUAUGUAAAUAUACAGUCCUACUGAAAUCAUAAAUUAAUAAUUUUUAUAUAAAGUUUAUAUAAGUAAAAACAAAAUAUUGUAAUUUUUUUUAUAUUCGUAAUAAAAUUCAUCUCUAUUUUCUGAACACUUCAGCAUAUUUUAAUAAUAUUUAGUAAAACUAUAUAUAAACCUACAUUUAAUUCUAUGAAACAUAUUUCGUAUACACCAAAUAGUAUAACCAAAAUGAUAUAAAAACAAAAUUCUAAAAUUUAAUUAAUAUAUAUACAACAAAAUUAACUAUUUUCUUAUUUUAUGAAAAAUAAUUCUAAAAAGAAAUAGUUUGUAAAUUAAUAAAAUACAUAAUCUCAACAUUAUUAUUUAUUUAUUUAUGCAACUGAAUCUCAAUUUUAUUAAUUUAUAGAGUUUUUACUCUUGAUUCAUUAUUGCACCUUUUGCUUUACCCCAGAGAGCACAAUGUAAAGUCAUUAUUACACAUAAUCCUCCGAUUAAGCUAGAAAGCAUCAAAAUAUAUACAAGAUGAUGUAUAUAGAUUGUAGUAAAAUCCCAUUUUGUAAAGCAAGUCACCGCCCAAAAAAACCUAAUGAUCUUUUUUUUGUUGAUGAAGUUUACCCGAAAUGUGAGACAAAAAGACCAGGAAAGAGUGCUAGAGAACUAGAACAAACAAACCAAUAUAAUACAUGUCCUGGUCAUUAAAAGCUCCUAGUAACGAUUUCCCAAUUGGUAGUUGAAUCAAUUCAAUUUGGUCGACAAGCUUAUUAUAUAUAACUCUAAAAUUGUGUUUCUCCUAAUUAAGUUAAAGCCAUAAAAUAUAUAUGGAAAGAUGUUAUUUUAAAUCGACUGUAUAUUGAGGAUUUUGAAUUUUAACCUGAUCUUAAAUACACAACAUGUGAUUACAUGUGUUACCAGCGACUUUACUAAUAGAUAGACUAAAUUAAUCGACUGUAUAUUGAGGAUUUUGAAUUUUAACCUGAUCUUUAAUAUACAACAUGUGAUUACAUGUGUUACCAGAGACUUUACUAAUAGACAGACUAAAUUAAGAUCCAACCUUUAAAAUGCAUGGGAAAAUCAUAUUAAAAUACACAAAAUGUGAAAAGGGGACUUGUCUGAAGCCUUGAUCACUAACAAAAGUUUGCACAUGGUAGCUAGCACUCAACUAGACCCAUAUGUGUAGUCAUAUAUAUGCAUCGUAUGAUUACUCCGUGAAAAUCUAUAUACAUACGGUCUUUUUCAUAAUAAUAUGAUAAUGUUAACUGUAAAACAUAUGGUGAACCGUAGUCCGAUUACAUGCUUAUAUCAUCUCCCCUAAUAUGAUUUCAGGAUAUGGUUGAAUUUGUGUUACAAUAUACAUCAAUAAAUACAAUAUGUUCAAGGCGGGGUGUUAUUAUAACACAAUUUACUAAGUACAAAACGGGCAAACGACCCAAAGUCAACCUUCGGUUGGCUGCCAUUAAGAAGAGAAGAUUCGUAAAUGGAGACGCCCACUUCUCUAAUUUUUGUUUUGUAUUUUAAGGUUCUGCUCUAGAAACGUGUUUGUUUGUUCCGCUUCGUAGUAAAGCCCACCUUCUUUAAGGCUAGAGAGUCUUACUUACUCAGGGGGGUCAAGCUUUUUGACCUUUUCAAUCUUCACCGAUGAGAGUUUUUUACUUUUGUACUUCGAAGAGUACGGCAGAAGCGACUAAUUUAAUCUUUCCCUUGAUUUGAGGGGACGACCAUCUAUCCCAUACUAAAAGCACGAUAUGCAGUGUUUUUAACAUGUCCACGUCGACAGAUUUAAUUGCCCAAUCAAAACAGAUUUAAUGUCCACGUAGGGUACCGGAGGCGUACGUUUGGUUUACUGGGUUCGUCUUUAUCUCGAUUUGGUUAAUACAAGGUGGAUCUCAUAUGAUUUUGUAUGGGCUUCGUUAUGGUUUAUUGAGCUUGGUCUCUUAUCGGUAUAUUAAAAAAAAACAACAACACGAGACGGAAACCCCGAUGCUUUGCGCCUCCAUCUCUUCGUCUUCCCCCUUUGUUCUUCAUCGUAACAGAUCUCUCGAUCCACAUCUCUACAAUCAAUACCCCACGACUUCUCGAUCCAUCAAUUUCUUCUUGAUGAGUUCGUUUCCGUUUGCUCUUUUCCUCCUCCUUUAUAUACUGUUAUUCUCUUUCGAGUGGAAACCAAACCUCGAACUUCUCUCCUUAAUCUAUGGCGAUGAAACCGAAUGGAAAAUCCCCUGUUACCUCCGAUCACGACGAAAAAAUCAUGCUUUACCGCGAUGUCACACCGGGUCCCCACGAAACCCAGCUGCGUUUCCGCUUGAUUCAUUUCUGGGAGGCUUGAAACCCUCUAAAGAAGACGCUUAUUGGCCUUGAGAUGCUUCUAAUAGACGAGCAGGUAUUUGAUUUCACCCAACAUAGUUUUUAGCUUCGUUGUUAUUUAGAUCGUCCUUAGAGUUGUUAUUUAGAUCGUGAUUUAUAUCGAUAAGUUUCUUCGUUCUUUGUUAUUUAGAUCGUCCUUAGAAUUGUUAUUUAGAUCGUGAUUUAUAUCGAUAAGUUUCUUCGUUCUUCCAUAUUAGAUCCUUCUUAAAGUUGUUAUUUAGAUAUUUAGAUCUUGAUUUAUAUCGUUAAUUUUUACACUAACGUUAAUUUUUACAAAAUUAAAACAAAGAUUAGAUUGGUGCUGUAUUUUCUCGCAGAGAUCUGUUAUCCAAGGAUUCAUUCCGCCAAGCCGUAUUGAGAGACAUUUGCCUAAAAUGAAGCCUGGAUCGCUUUACAAGCUCAACAAUUUUUAUGGAUCAAGCAACAAAACCGUUUAUCGGGUUUCUGAUCAUGCUGUGACGGUGUCGUUCUCAUGGAACUCGGAGCUCUCUGUUCUUGAAGACAGUCCCACCCCUUUUGAUGAAGACAGAUUCCGUUUUCAUUCCUUUGAGGAUUUUCAAGCUAGCUGUGAUCGCAAAGGAGACCUCUACGGUAAUCUCUGUUAUCACCCACACCAUCUCUGAGUUGUAUGUGGUAUUUGUCUUCGUUGCUGCUCAGAUAUAAAUCUAGAAUUUUGCUUACAAUGUGCUUAAUAUUUGAUUUUUUUAAAUGGUUGUAUUGUAGUGUAGUAUGGUUAGGAUCUGUUAGCUGCUUCAGUACUAUGCGUGUUUGGUUUUGUUUGCUCAUGAGAAAGUAGAUUACUUAUUGCGCACUCUUCUUACUUUCACGGUUGAUCUCGAAAUUUGGUUAAAAUGUAUUGUAGGUUUGUGAUAAGUAUUCUCUGGAAUCGUUGUCUUUAUCAGUCUCUGCGAUCACUCUUUCAGAACAGAACAUGACAAAUGAGAUUCACUAAUUGUGUUUAUAGCCUUAGGGAGGAUUUUUUUUACAACACUCGGGUUUUGGUUUUUUUUUUUUUUUUUUUGAGGGUUCUAUUGUAGUAUAGUUUGAUUAGGAUGCUUGAGUUCUAUGUGUGUUUCAGUUUUGUCUGGUCAUGAAAUAGUAGAAUGCUAUUGCGUAGUCUUCUUACUUACACGCUUGAUGAACAAUGGUAUAGAUGUUGUUGGGCACAUGAAGGUGGUUAAUGGACAGUGUCUCAUUGGGACACCAGUUCUUGAUGAAGUGGAGAUAGCUAGGGCGAGGCAUGUGUUGGUUCAUGUGCAGUCAUACGAGUAAGUUUUUUAUUAUUUCUUAAACACUUUAUCUCUCUACUUAUAUUAACCAUUCAGUAAAAUAUUUUGCAGUGGGCCUGUGAUGAAGCUCUACUUUUGGGACCAGGCUGCAAGAGACUUCUGCAAAAAAUUCAAAUCAUACGAAGGCACCCCCACCGUGUUAUUGGUCACGACCGUUAACACUAAGAGUCUCGGAGGUUCAAUUUCUAUCUUUAGAAAACUUUCUUAUAAUUAGAUAUCUACUCUUUUUGGUCUUUAAAUGGGUGUUGCUUAAUACAACAUGUACUCUUGCACUGACUUCAAUGUCGUCCUCACGUGUCUUUAUGGACUACGAUGUCCAACCUACGAUCGACUACUUUGGCUGGUAAAUCUAUAUAUAUUUUCCCUUUUAUAUUUAAUCUUUCGCUGCCUCACCCCAUAUCAAUGAUUGAAUGGAUCAAAAUGCUACUACUCUCUCUCAGGUUGGGUUCUAAACCACAGAGUGCUGAGCUGGUUAAUGCAGAAGUGGUUACUAAAAGGGAGACACUGACUAUAGGAGAAAUAUUCUCCUACAUCAAGCAGGGAUCUAAUAAGGUACGACUUGGUCUAAUUAUUUCUUAGUCAUUUAUCAAAAACUUUGAGUCUUAUAUAGCUUUGCUGUCCAGGAGGCUUUUUUUUAGUGCACGGCUACGAUUGAUGAUGUGGUCCAUGGUUCAACCUGGUAUUACAUAUCAUGCAGUGGUUGCCAUACUAAGGCUACGAAAGGCCCAACUUCUUUGAUGUGUUCAAAAUGUGGGAAAGUCAACAUAUCAGGAGUACCACGGUAUUUACUCUAUACUCACUUCUCAAUUCUCAGUAGCAAUUUGAAUGGUAUUAGCUUCUAAUUUCUUCAUGGCAGGUACCGUGCACAGAUAUCUGUCUAUGACAACAGUGAGCAAGCUGUUUUUGUACUGCUUGGUGAUGCUGGUUUUCAGUUAACUGGGAAGCAAGCAGCCGAGUUAGUCAGCAGCUAUUUUGAGGUAAGUUUCUUCAGUCGGAACUGUUAGUAUUGGUACUCUCAAUAUUGGUCUUCAAGUUGCAAUUGAAUAUUGGUAAUCUUGAAUGUCAGGCUAAUGGAGACCAAGGAGUUACCCAAGAGGUGCCUUUCCCGGAAGCUUUAAUCAGCACUAUUGGUCAGAAACAUAACUUUUGUGUGAAAGUUACAAAGCACAACUUAGAUGGGAAGUCUCGAUCUUUAACUGUGACCAAGAUUCUCCCUCUGGACACUCCACCAGUCACAGAAUCUUCGGGAGAAAACUACAAUCCGGCAACUUCGGAGGAGACAUUUGAGACUGGAACGAACGUGUGUGAAGCUUCCAAAAUCAGUGUGGAUUCGGCAGAGGGAAGUAAGAGAAAUGGUGACAUUGAUGAGAUGGGCAAAGCAAAACGCCUCAAGCGUGGGGUGUAGAUCUUUCGUGUGUCCUCUUAUGUCUUGCAGGGGAUUACAGCUAAAGUUUUUUUUUUCCAGUCUAUUAUUGACUCAUGAUUUCUUUCAGUUUUUCUAAAGUUUUUCAUAUACUCUGAACGCUUAUGUUUUGAUAAUCAUUAUUCUACUUCUUAAGGCUUAUAACUCUGUUUCUUUAGGUGUUUUGAAAUCUAGCUUUGUGACAAACAGGUCAAUCAUUUCUGUAUUUUAAAAUCAUUCUUCACGAACUGUGGAUGUUCUUUGAAAAAUGCAUGUAAUGAAAGCAACAACAUUUAAGGAAAAAAAGGAGGUUUUCAAGUACAUAUUUUAUUUUAGAAAAAACGUGUUUUCAAUCAACAUAAUGUAACGACCCGGUUUUCUCUAAACCGGUAUUGGGAUUGGGUUGAUUAUUUAAUUAGACUAAACCAAAAUAAUUACAAAACCAAAGCAAUAUAUAUACUUGUAUGCAUCUCCUUCUUCAUGUUAACCUAGCCGUCAUCUUUACAAAUGAGAGACCACCAUCGUUGUACCAUCUCUUCCCGCACCACCUCUCUAUCUCUCAUCCUUCUCUCACUCCCGUAACCUUGAAAAGAGCCUCGUCGUUGCCGUCAUCAAUACUCACCACAAGAGACGCCACCACAACAACCGGAGCAAUCGUUCACAGUUCACUGGAUCCAUCACCAUUCUUUAUCACGUGUUGUUAAUGUGAACAUAUCCGAUAUGUGGAGAAGAGACGAACAAAACGGAGCCACCGUCCACCAUGGAUCACCACCACGAGUCUUACUCCACCAGAGAUGAGACGUUGUGUUUUCAGAGGCCAUCACCGCAAACCGUUUACGUUAUGUACCAAGUCCGAGAAGUGUGGAACGUGAGCAAAGCUGGACCACCGCGGCUCACCACCACCGGCUCCGAUCUAUACCGCGUUAGCCGUGAGCCAUUGGAGAAACAAGGCAUGUCAACCAACCACCAUCAUCAACCGUGAUCCAAGCCGUAUUAUCUAAGUGACUUCCUCCUUUGUUCCUUGUGAUACAAGAAACGUAUAUAGCACAAUCAUAAACGUGUCCUUGCAUGUGUUUAUGUGUAGUGAAUCUUAUGCCAACCUGCAGUUACUUGCCCAUCAUUUUAAAUAAGGCGUAAGAAGGUUUAUGGAACACGUUUUAUUCAACACCAUGAUUAGGAAGGAAUCUUUUAAAGUGAUGUUAGGCGAGAUCGUUCCCGAGCAUUUCAUGAGCUAUAUUCAAUAUUGGCUCAGGUGAGACUGACGAGUAUAUGAUAUUUGGAUGGAUUGGUGCUACUGGGCUUUUUAUUCGGAUUUUUAUUUGGGCUUAGGGUGAGUGGAGUCGUGUAUAUGGGCUAUUGUGUUAUGAGAUAUUGUUGGUGGCACGCUGUUCUCCAGAUAGGAGCAAAAUAAGAAAAUAGAAGUACGAAGCAUCCCCUUAAGCUGUUGCACGGAGAACCAAGCUUUCUAUUUCCAUUUUGAAAAAAAUACUGAAAUUACCAUUGGAAGUGUCUACCAAGCUUUAAUCAACGCUAGACUCCAACCAACUGUGAAAGGAAAUAUAAAAGGAAUGGAGCACCCACCUCCUCCACCCCCUUCGCAAACUGCAGGUAAACAAAUCUUUGCCCUUUUUUUUUUUAGUUAAAACUUAUGUAUUAUCCCAUACAAAUAUUUAAUAACCCGAUCACAUAAUGUCUAUAUGUUGUUUUGAGUUAUUCUUUAUGUUGUAUCAAUAUAUUUAGUUAUACAGUUGGCCAUCCACCUAAGAAAAGCACUAUCAAUAUUUAGCUCUCAUCAGAAAGUAUUAUAUAUUCACUUAGAAUUUAAUCCAAGUAUAAACUUAGGGAUAAUAUAAAAAGGUUGAAUCUUGGUGGGAUGGGGUGUAGUGCUGGCCUUAUAGCCAUGGACGUCGCUAGAUGUAUUAUGUGAAUAUUGUGUUAUAGAUUACUUUUAUGGUCUUCUUUUUAUUCCAUAAAACUAUUACUGUUAUUAAUUAAAUAUGUUUACUGAUUAUUUAAAUAGUAAAAUAAAAGUUGAUUAUUUAGAAACCAAAAUAUCGCCAUAUUAUAAUUAAAUUUAAAGCCAA
This is a long non-coding RNA of Brassica napus (rape), 7420 nucleotides long. RefSeq lists it as uncharacterized. The transcript has 4 exons. The record is from RefSeq and is a predicted model, not a curated record. Lineage: Eukaryota; Viridiplantae; Streptophyta; Magnoliopsida; Brassicales; Brassicaceae.